GACGAACGCUGGCGGCGUGCUUAACACAUGCAAGUCGAACGGAAAGGCCCUGCUUUUGUGGGGUGCUCGAGUGGCGAACGGGUGAGUAACACGUGAGUAACCUGCCCCUGACUUUGGGAUAACUUCAGGAAACUGGGGCUAAUACCGGAUAGGAGCUCCUGCUGCUUGGUGGGGGUUGGAAAGUUUCGGCGGUUGGGGAUGGACUCGCGGCUUAUCAGCUUGUUGGUGGGGUAGUGGCUUACCAAGGCUUUGACGGGUAGCCGGCCUGAGAGGGUGACCGGCCACAUUGGGACUGAGAUACGGCCCAGACUCCUCCGGGAGGCAGCAGUGGAGAAUAGUGCACAAUAGGCGGAAGCCUGAUGCAGCAACGCCGCGUGCGGGAUGACGGCCUUCGGGUUGUAAACCGCUUUCGCCUGUGACGAAGCGUGAGUGACGGUAAUGGGUAAAGAAGCACCGGCUAACUACGUG
RNAcentral lists this ribosomal RNA (468 nucleotides) under uncultured bacterium. RNAcentral describes it as "partial 16S ribosomal RNA". It matches the Rfam family "Bacterial small subunit ribosomal RNA", at positions 28 to 507 of the family's 1533-position model. The record is from RNAcentral.